This is a long non-coding RNA of Ziziphus jujuba (common jujube), 1867 nucleotides long. RefSeq lists it as uncharacterized. The transcript has 3 exons. The record is from RefSeq and is a predicted model, not a curated record. Lineage: Eukaryota; Viridiplantae; Streptophyta; Magnoliopsida; Rosales; Rhamnaceae.
UUAUUUUUAUUUUUUUUUGGGGUCUUUGAAAUUCAAUUUGAUAAGCUGAGUCAUCCAUACAUUCAUACAAUGGUCUGAAGGAAAAACUUGUGAAGUGCUUUCUGUCAAAAUAAUUGGUAAAGGGUUUAGCUGAGGCAAAAGUUAAUGUGGCUAUAAAGCCUAUUUCUUCUACUGAAAAUGACCUGUGGGUAUAUCUUCAGGCGCUAUGGUUCUAUCUUUUUUAGCUUAUUAUUGUUCCCUAAACCAGUUAACCCUGCACCUGCGGAGUUACUAGGUUGACUGUGUCCUUUUAUUUUUUCCCUUUUUCCCUUUUAUUUUAUUUAUUUAUUUAUUUAUUUUUUUCCCUCCUCCUCCUCUUCUAAUCAAAAUAUUGGUUGUGGCUGUGUCUGUGUGGAAAGGAUGGUAAUUAUAGGGUACUCUUCAGGUGUUGAUAUGCCUUCAAAAUACCUUUCUUUUUUGGUUCUCUCCCUCUUUUUAUCUAAAUUUUCUUCAAAUGAUAUUAACUUUUCUUUUCUUUUUUUCCCUUUUAAUCUUGAGGUGGAGAAACCAAAUUCUCUUUUUAACCCAAAAUGAUGUCAGAGAUCUUUUUUAUGACAUGGCAAAUUGUCAUUGGCUUAGAGAAACAUUCAAAGAUCAGCUAGAGAUUAUAUGUAUUUGUGAUAAGAGUACAGUAGACAUGUCACCAAGUCAUAACCAUUAAUUCGUGAUUGAGUAAUAACCUGAAAUUAAUUUUUGUAUUCCCUUUGGCAAAUUAAGCAAAUCACCUAUAAAGCAAUGAGAAAAAGAAGCAACAAAAAAUGGAUAGGAUCUCAAACUUGCCUGAAGCCGUAGUCCCCCACAUCAUGUGGUUCCUUCCUACAAAUGCAGACAUUAUCCAAAUUAGUUUCUUGUCCAAUAAAUUCAACUCUUUAUGGCGUUCAUUCCCAAUACUUGAUAUCAAUCUCAGCAUCAAUUUAGAGAGAUCAAAUGAAUGGAAUAAGAAAAGAAAUGUGAAGCUGAGCUUGAAGCUCCAAAUCAAGUUUGGUUUGAGUACCAUGGGUGCGAAAUGUUUGAAACGCCAUUAGUGAUGUGGAUCAGAUGCUGCUGAACUCCAUAUCAAACAUGAUUUAACUGUCACAAAUCCGUAUCUUAGGCUUGUGAGAGAUUUUACCAGAUCAUUAAGUCAUUGCUAAACACUCAUCCUGGUCUGCAAUUCUAAUCAGUUGAUUCAAGAGAAGUGAUGAUGACAGGACAAACAUUAGAUCCUGGUCCAUUAAUUAUACGACAUUAAAUAUUUGAAGAUAAAAUUGAGGUACAUAAAUGAUAAAACACAGUUUGGUGGAAGCGAUUGAUAGUUUGCUUCGGUUUGCUGCUCAUCCUAAUAUUAUCGCCAUCAGUACUAAUCAUUCACUGCUCCAUGUAAUAAAGGUAGCAUUUAAAUGUUAUCCAAUUUUCUUAUUUAUUUUUACUUUUUGAAUAUUUGAAAUAAUGCGUGUCUAUUAAAUUAAAAGAUUUUUGUAAGUGAACUACAUAAAUGGGGAUUCUUUUUGGCCUAAAUGUUUAUACUACAUCCAAAUUUUAGCCAAACAAUAUUGAAGUUAAUUAAUUAAUAACAAAUAUUAUACAUCUUUUAUUUUCAAAAUCCAAAUGUACUUUAUCUACCUAGAAGAUCCAGAAAAACAAACUAAAAAGUUAAUAACCAAAUUUUGCCACCAAAAACUAGUCAAAAUCAGAAAGAUAUGGAUUUUAUUUUAUGUCAAUAUAUAUUAUUAUAUAUUAUAUAGUGCCACCUUAAUCAAUUUGUAUAUUUCUUGUCAUUUUAUGUAUUAUUUAUUAAAAUAAUAAUCCAUUUGAAUUGUGGAUGCACUUUAUGAUGAGCAUGUGAAUG